RNAcentral lists this ribosomal RNA (497 nucleotides) under uncultured bacterium. Its description in RNAcentral is "partial 16S ribosomal RNA". It matches the Rfam family "Bacterial small subunit ribosomal RNA", at positions 28 to 507 of the family's 1533-position model. The record is from RNAcentral.
GAUGAACGCUGGCGGCGUGCCUAAUACAUGCAAGUCGAGCGAACGGACGAGAAGCUUGCUUCUCUGAUGUUAGCGGCGGACGGGUGAGUAACACGUGGAUAACCUACCUAUAAGACUGGGAUAACUUCGGGAAACCGGAGCUAAUACCGGAUGAUAUUUUGAACCGCAUGGUUCAAAAGUGAAAGACGGUCUUGCUGUCACUUAUAGAUGGAUCCGCGCUGCAUUAGCUAGUUGGUAAGGUAACGGCUUACCAAGGCAACGAUGCAUAGCCGACCUGAGAGGGUGACCCGCCACCCUGGAACUGAGACACGGUCCAGACUCCUACGGGAGGCAGCAGUAGGGAAUCUGCCGCAAUGGGCGACAGCCUGACGGAGCAACGCCGCGUGAGUGAUGAAGGUCUUCGGAUCGUAAAACUCUGUUAUUAGGGAAGAACAUAUGUGUAAGUAACUGUGCACAUCUUGACGGUACCUAAUCAGAAAGCCACGGCUAACUCCGUG